This 432-nucleotide ribosomal RNA is filed under the name uncultured bacterium. RNAcentral's name for it is "bacterial SSU rRNA". It matches the Rfam family "Bacterial small subunit ribosomal RNA", at positions 338 to 785 of the family's 1533-position model. The record is from RNAcentral.
CCUACGGGGGGCAGCAGUGGGGGAUAUUGCACAAUGGGGGAAACCCUGAUGCAGCGACGCCGCGUGGGCGAAGAAGUAUUUCGGUAUGUAAAGCCCUAUCAGCAGGGAAGAAGAAAUGACGGUACCUGAGUAAGAAGCACCGGCUAAAUACGUGCCAGCAGCCGCGGUAAUACGUAUGGUGCAAGCGUUAUCCGGAUUUACUGGGUGUAAAGGGAGCGCAGGCGGCACGGCAAGCCUGAUGUGAAAGCCCGCGGCCCAACCGCGGGACUGCAUUGGGAACUACCGGGCUGGAGUGCCGGAGAGGUAGGCGGAAUUCCUAGUGUAGCGGUGAAAUGCGUAGAUAUUAGGAGGAACACCAGUGGCGAAGGCGGCCUACUGGACGGUGACUGACGCUGAGGCUCGAAAGCGUGGGGAGCAAACAGGAUUAGAUAC